UCGACUUUAAAAAUCGUGAGGGUUCAAGUCCCUCUAUCCCCAAAAAGGUCCAUCU
Molecule: transfer RNA, 55 nt
Filed under: Morus rubra (red mulberry)
Lineage: Eukaryota; Viridiplantae; Streptophyta; Magnoliopsida; Rosales; Moraceae
Description: partial tRNA-Leu
Source: RNAcentral